GACGAACGCUGGCGGCGUGCUUAACACAUGCAAGUCGAGCGGUAAGGCCCUUUCGGGGUACACGAGCGGCGAACGGGUGAGUAACACGUGGGUGACCUGCCCUCAGCUCUGGGAUAAGCCCGGGAAACUGGGUCUAAUACUGGAUAUGACUCCACGGUGCAUGCCGUGGGGUGGAAAGCCUUGUGCGGCUGAGGAUGGGCCCGCGGCCUAUCAGCUUGUUGGUGGGGUGAUGGCCUACCAAGGCGACGACGGGUAGCCGGCCUGAGAGGCGGACGGCCACACUGGAACUGAGACACGGUCCAGACUCCUACGGGAGGCA
This 319-nucleotide ribosomal RNA is filed under the name uncultured bacterium. Its description in RNAcentral is "bacterial SSU rRNA". It matches the Rfam family "Bacterial small subunit ribosomal RNA", at positions 28 to 350 of the family's 1533-position model. The record is from RNAcentral.